GUGCUGGGAUUAAAAGCAUGUGCCACCACCACCUGGCAACAAUGUUGUUUCUUAACAGUUUCUGUCUGCUAUAUACCCCCUGUGUAGAGCCAGGGAUACUUGGUCUCAUGCAU
Molecule: small nucleolar RNA, 113 nt
Organism: Cricetulus griseus (Chinese hamster)
Lineage: Eukaryota; Metazoa; Chordata; Mammalia; Rodentia; Cricetidae
Gene: SNORA63
Rfam family: Small nucleolar RNA SNORA63
About the family: E3 belongs to the H/ACA class of snoRNAs and is involved in the processing of eukaryotic pre-rRNA and has regions of complementarity to 18S rRNA.
Source: Ensembl